RNAcentral lists this unclassified non-coding RNA (380 nucleotides) under uncultured bacterium. RNAcentral's name for it is "contains 16S-23S intergenic spacer region". The record is from RNAcentral.
UCCCCGUUAACCGGGGCAGUCCCCCUAGAGUUCCCGGCAUGACCCGUUGGCAACUAAGGGCGAGGGUUGCGCUCGUUGCGGGACUUAACCCAACACCUCACGGCACGAGCUGACGACAGCCAUGCAGCACCUGUGCAGGGACUCCGAAGAGGGGCCGUGGUUUCUCACGGCUUUCCCCUGCAUGUCAAGCCUAGGUAAGGUUCUUCGCGUUGCGUCGAAUUAAACCACAUGCUCCACCGCUUGUGCGGGCCCCCGUCAAUUCCUUUGAGUUUCAGCCUUGCGGCCGUACUCCCCAGGCGGGGUGCUUAAUGCGUUAGCUUCGGCACGGACGGGGUCGAUACCGCCCACACCUAGCACCCAACGUUUACGGCUAGGACUAC